CCUACGGGUGGCAGCAGUGGGGAAUAUUGCACAAUGGGGGAAACCCUGAUGCAGCGACGCCGCGUGAGCGAUGAAGCAUUUCGGUAUGUAAAGCUCUAUCAGCAGGGAAGAAAAUGACGGUACCUGAAUAAGAAGCCCCGGCUAACUACGUGCCAGCAGCCGCGGUCAUACGUAGGGGGCAAGCGUUAUCCGGAUUUACUGGGUGUAAAGGGGGCGGAGACGGCUUGGCAAGCCAGCGGUGAAAGGCUGGGGCUCAACCCCGGGACUGCUGUUGGAACUGUCAUGCUAGAGUGUCGGAGAGGCAGGCGGAAUUCCUGGUGUAGCGGUGAAAUGCGUAGAUAUUAGGAGGAACACCAGUGGCGAAGGCGGCCUGCUGGACGAUGACUGACGUUGAGGCUCGAAAGCGUGGGGAGCAAACAGGAUUAGAUACCCUGGUAGUC
RNAcentral lists this ribosomal RNA (440 nucleotides) under uncultured bacterium. Its description in RNAcentral is "partial 16S ribosomal RNA". It matches the Rfam family "Bacterial small subunit ribosomal RNA", at positions 338 to 795 of the family's 1533-position model. The record is from RNAcentral.